CCUACGUGUGGCAGCAGUGGGGAAUAUUGUGCAAUGGGGGCAACCCUGACGCAGCCAUGCCGCGUGAAUGAAGAAGGCCUUCGGGUUGUAAAGUUCUUUCGGUAGCGAGGAAGGCAUUUAGUUUAAUAGACUAGGUGAUUGACGUUAACUACAGAAGAAGCACCGGCUAACUCCGUGCCAGCAGCCGCGGUAAUACGGAGGGUGCGAGCGUUAAUCGGAAUAACUGGGCGUAAAGGGCACGCAGGCGGUGACUUAAGUGAGGUGUGAAAGCCCCGGGAUUAACCUGGGAAUUGCAUUUCAUACUGGGUCGCUAGAGUACUUUAGGGAUGGGUAGAAUUCCACGUGUAGCGGUGAAAUGCGUAGAGAUGUGGAGGAAUACCGAAGGCGAAGGCAGCCCCUUGGGAAUGUACUGACGCUCAUGUGCGAAAGCGUGUGGAGCAAACAGGAUUAGAUACCCGUGUAGUC
RNAcentral lists this ribosomal RNA (465 nucleotides) under uncultured Haemophilus sp. Its description in RNAcentral is "bacterial SSU rRNA". It matches the Rfam family "Bacterial small subunit ribosomal RNA", at positions 338 to 795 of the family's 1533-position model. Lineage: Bacteria; Pseudomonadati; Pseudomonadota; Gammaproteobacteria; Pasteurellales; Pasteurellaceae. The record is from RNAcentral.